This 276-nucleotide ribosomal RNA is filed under the name uncultured Dialister sp. RNAcentral describes it as "partial 16S ribosomal RNA". It matches the Rfam family "Bacterial small subunit ribosomal RNA", at positions 259 to 525 of the family's 1533-position model. The record is from RNAcentral. Lineage: Bacteria; Bacillati; Bacillota; Negativicutes; Veillonellales; Veillonellaceae.
AACGGCCCACCAAGCCGACGAUCGGUAGCCGGUCUGAGAGGAUGAACGGCCACAUUGGAACUGAGACACGGUCCAGACUCCUACGGGAGGCAGCAGUGGGGAAUCUUCCGCAAUGGGCGAAAGCCUGACGGAGCAACGCCGCGUGAGUGAAGACGGCCUUCGGGUUGUAAAACUCUGUGAUUCGGGACGAAAGAUAAGUAGACGAAUAAUCUGCAUAAGUGACGGUACCGAAAAAGCAAGCCACGGGCUAACUACGUGCCAGCAGCCGCGGUAAAU